AAACCUUGAAAUUCUUGAGUAACUAAGAAAGCUACAGCUGAAUUUGGCUGGACAAAGUGUGAAAGCAGGAGGCGAUACCCAAGAAAUGACAACACUCCCACUGAGCACUAUAGAGACUGAUCUAAACUGGAGCCUAGCGUUGCCCGGGAGACCCACUGAGAGCAUCAAGGGACUCCCGCACCAAAUCUAGCUUGUGAAUAUCCAGAGAGCCAGGCUGAGGAUGGGGAAUUGGCCAUGAGACGCAGGGAGAGAACUAGAAAGGAGACCUCUGUGGAACUCCGUGAGGCUGAUGGAUGCUCUGAUACCUGCCUGACCCAGUCAGCGAGCAAAGACUUCCCUGUCCUGACUUCUCUUCUCUGCAUUCCUCAUCCUUGGAUGUAG
RNAcentral lists this long non-coding RNA (381 nucleotides) under Fukomys damarensis (Damara mole-rat). RNAcentral's name for it is "lncRNA (ENSFDAG00000033533.1)". The record is from RNAcentral. Lineage: Eukaryota; Metazoa; Chordata; Mammalia; Rodentia; Bathyergidae.